Molecule: long non-coding RNA, 334 nt
Organism: Phyllostomus hastatus (greater spear-nosed bat)
Lineage: Eukaryota; Metazoa; Chordata; Mammalia; Chiroptera; Phyllostomidae
Exons: 3
Source: RefSeq, a predicted model, not a curated record
UUGAAGAGGAGUUUGAAGUUGGAAUGAGAUGACUCGAGACAAUGGUGUGGUGACCACCCGUGUGCCGUCAUCUUUAUGCAGAGAACACAGUGUGGAUCAAGGACAGCAGCAACGUCUAUUGACCUCGCACGUCUUGCCAGGAGGACGCUGCCUGCCUCUUCAUUUUGACUUGUCUGGGACUUCUGCCCUUCGUCUCCAGACGCACCCUUGGAUGGCCCCUGGGCAGUCUGCAGGGCAGCCAUGGGCUUCCCAGGCUGGCUGUUCCAAUGUGACCUCAUGUGCACCUCAUUGCUGUGUGAACUGAACCUCACGCCUUCUUCAGAUACAGGUCCCU